CGCCCUACGGACGCAGCAGUGGGGAAUAUUGCACAUUGGGGGAAACCCUGAUGCAGCAACGCCGCGUGAGUGAAGAAGUAUUUCGGUAUGUAAAGCUCUAUCAGCAGGGAAGAAGAUGACGGUACCUGAAUAAGAAGCCCCGGCUAACUACGUGCCAGCAGCCGCGGUAAUACGUAGGGGGCAAGCGUUAUCCGGAUUUACUGGGUGUAAAGGGAGCGCAGACGGCAGUGCAAGUCUGGAGUGAAAGCCCGGGGCCCAACCCCGGAACUGCUCUGGAAACUGUGCGGCUAGAGUACUGGAGGGGG
This 305-nucleotide ribosomal RNA is filed under the name uncultured bacterium. RNAcentral's name for it is "bacterial SSU rRNA". It matches the Rfam family "Bacterial small subunit ribosomal RNA", at positions 335 to 658 of the family's 1533-position model. The record is from RNAcentral.